This 45-nucleotide non-coding RNA is filed under the name Schistosoma margrebowiei. Lineage: Eukaryota; Metazoa; Platyhelminthes; Trematoda; Strigeidida; Schistosomatidae. The record is from RNAcentral.
AUUAAGCUGACGAGUCCAAAACGGGAUGAAAUGUGCGUCCUAGAU